GGCCCUAUGGUGUAGUGGUUAACACUCUGGACUUUGAAUCCAGCGAUCCGAGUUCAAAUCUCAGUGGGACCU
This 72-nucleotide transfer RNA is filed under the name Saccoglossus kowalevskii. Its description in RNAcentral is "tRNA-Gln". It matches the Rfam family "tRNA". Rfam says of the family: Transfer RNA (tRNA) molecules are approximately 80 nucleotides in length. Their secondary structure includes four short double-helical elements and three loops (D, anti-codon, and T loops). The record is from RNAcentral. Lineage: Eukaryota; Metazoa; Hemichordata; Enteropneusta; Harrimaniidae.